CCUUACGGGGAAAGAUUUAUCGCCGAAAGAUCGGCCCGCGUCUGAUUAGCUAGUUGGUGAGGUAAUGGCUCACCAAGGCGACGAUCAUAGCUGGUCUGAGAGGAUGAUCAGCCACAUUGGGACUGAGACACGGCCCAAACUCCUACGGGAGGCAGCAGUGGGGAAUAUUGGACAAUGGGCGCAAGCCUGAUCCAGCCAUGCCGCGUGAGUGAUGAAGGCCCUAGGGUUGUAAAGCUCUUUUGUGCGGGAAGAUAAUGACGGUACCGCAAGAAUAAGCCCCGGCUAACUUCGUGCCAG
This 297-nucleotide ribosomal RNA is filed under the name Bradyrhizobium sp. RNAcentral describes it as "partial 16S ribosomal RNA". It matches the Rfam family "Bacterial small subunit ribosomal RNA", at positions 193 to 511 of the family's 1533-position model. The record is from RNAcentral. Lineage: Bacteria; Pseudomonadati; Pseudomonadota; Alphaproteobacteria; Hyphomicrobiales; Nitrobacteraceae.